UAAAAAAACNAUGCCCUUCGGGGCUCCUUGGUGAUUCAUGAUAACUUCUCGAAUCGCAUGGCCUUGUGCCGGCGAUGGUUCAUUCAAAUUUCUUCCCUAUCAACUUUCGAUGUUUGGGUAUUGGCCAAACAUGGUUGCAACGGGUAACGGAGGGUUAGGGCUCGACCCCGGAGAAGGAGCCUGAGAAACGGCUACUACAUCCAAGGAAGGCAGCAGGCGCGCAAAUUACCCAAUCCCGACACGGGGAGGUAGUGACAAUAAAUACUGAUACAGGGCUCUUUUGGGUCUUGUAAUUGGAAUGAGUACAAUUUAAAUCCCUUAACGAGGAACAAUUGGAGGGCAAGUCUGGUGCCAGCAGCCGCGGUAAUUCCAGCUCCAAUAGCGUAUAUUAAAGUUGUUGUGGUUAAAAAGCUCGUAGUUGAACCUUGGGCCUGGCUGGCCGGUCCGCCUCACCGCGUGUACUGGUCCGGCCGGGCCUUUCCCUCUGUGGAACCCCAUGCCCUUCACUGGGUGUGGCGGGGAAACAGGACUUUUACUUUGAAAAAAUUAGAGUGCUCCAGGCAGGCCUAUGCUCGAAUACAUUAGCAUGGAAUAAUAGAAUAGGACGUGUGGUUCUAUUUUGUUGGUUUCUAGGACCGCCGUAAUGAUUAAUAGGGACAGUCGGGGGCAUCAGUAUUCAAUUGUCAGAGGUGAAAUUCUUGGAUUUAUUGAAGACUAACUACUGCGAAAGCAUUUGCCAAGGAUGUUUUCAUUAAUCAGGAACGAAAGUUANGG
This 774-nucleotide ribosomal RNA is filed under the name cf. Volutella sp. 371/HP2. RNAcentral describes it as "SSU rRNA". It matches the Rfam family "Eukaryotic small subunit ribosomal RNA", at positions 214 to 995 of the family's 1831-position model. The record is from RNAcentral. Lineage: Eukaryota; Fungi; Ascomycota; Sordariomycetes; Hypocreales; Nectriaceae.